GCCUGUUUGGCUCAGUCGGUAGAACAUGUGACUCUUUGAUCUCAGGGUUGUGAGUUCGAGUCCCACAUUGGGUG
Molecule: transfer RNA, 74 nt
Filed under: Canis lupus familiaris (dog)
Lineage: Eukaryota; Metazoa; Chordata; Mammalia; Carnivora; Canidae
Also listed under: 1 other name
Rfam family: tRNA
About the family: Transfer RNA (tRNA) molecules are approximately 80 nucleotides in length. Their secondary structure includes four short double-helical elements and three loops (D, anti-codon, and T loops). Further hydrogen bonds mediate the characteristic L-shaped molecular structure. tRNAs have two regions of fundamental functional importance: the anti-codon, which is responsible for specific mRNA codon recognition, and the 3' end, to which the tRNAs corresponding amino acid is attached (by aminoacyl-tRNA synthetases). tRNAs cope with the degeneracy of the genetic code in two manners: having more than one tRNA (with a specific anti-codon) for a particular amino acid; and 'wobble' base-pairing, i.e. permitting non-standard base-pairing at the 3rd anti-codon position.
Source: Rfam by way of RNAcentral